Molecule: ribosomal RNA, 506 nt
Filed under: uncultured bacterium
Lineage: Bacteria
Description: bacterial SSU rRNA
Rfam family: Bacterial small subunit ribosomal RNA
Source: RNAcentral
ACAUGUCUUCGCAAUCCCUGGAAACAGGGCCCUCUAAGGUAACUUAGACGAAGUCACAGCUGUUGCAUGGCUGUCGUCAGCUCGUGCCGUGAGGUGUUGGGUUAAGUCCCGCAACGAGCGCAACCCGCGUCCCAUGUUGCCAGCGAGUAAAGUCGGGCACUCUUGGGAGACUGCCCGGGUAACCGGGAGGAAGGAGCGGAUGACGUCAAGUCGGCAUGGCGCCUACGCCUGGGGCUUCACACAUGCUACAAUGGACGCAACAGAGGGUACCGAGACCGCGAGGUGGAGGCAAUCCCAGAAAUACGUCCCCAGUUCUGAUCGCAGGCUGCAACUCGCCUGCGUGAAGCCGGAAUCGCUAGUAACCGCAGAUCAGCUAAGCUGCGGUGAAUACGUUCCCGGGCCUUGUACACACCGCCCGUCAAGUCACCUGAGUUGUCUGCACCUGAAGUCCGUGGCUCAACCCGCAAGGGAGAGAGCGGCCGAGGGUGCGGGGAGCAAGGGGGACU